UCGCGCAGUCUCGCGUCCAUCACCGAUUGUUCCUUCGUUUCGUGGUUUUCUCCUGUCACGUGAACCUUGGUGAUCUCGCGGAGAGGAAUUCGCGCACGGAUGAAACCUGACAGGAUUUAUCGAGCCGCGUGAUUUAUUUUAAACUACGUCUCCACCGUGGAGAUGUAUGUCGAACGAGUUUUGUUACUGCCGGGUAGGCGGAGAGUAACUCAAGUUUUUCUAGAAUACGCGACGCAAUAAAUUGUCGAAGAAGUAUGACUUGGUCUUCAAAACGCUCGGAAAUUAUGGCGCCGAAGGAGAUGGUAGCUUACCAAAGAAUGGAUGAGCGAGCAUCGAAACGGUACUCGGCAAGUACGUACCGCUCGAGCGGUAAGAAGAAAAACAGAGAAGGGAAACAAACUCAAAGAUAAAUAAAAAGAAGUAAGCCACGUCGUAUCCGUUGCAGUAUCUCGAACUAAUAAAUCAUGGUUUUCGAUAUAAAUGUUACGUGGUCGAGUUACCCCGAGGAGACGUAACUCGAGUUCACGCUGAAAAAUUACCCGCUCUUAAUUCCCGCCGACAUUUAAAGGAACGCACUUAAUUUUUCGUAAUGGCCAAUCAUGGUUAUUUAUAUGCGCAUUUAUGUAUGAACCAUCCAACGAUGGAGAAGUCAUAAAAGAGCGUCGUCGGGCGUCCGAACACCAAAUUUUCCUUUCUUUCACCCUUUCAUCCCGCUGUUCUCCCCUGCUGAUCGAUAGUUAAUGUAAACGUGGCGUAACGAAUAAAACUGGCCUGUCUGCGGGGGGUAAAACGCUUGAUCGUCGUCGUAUAAUUAAGCAUUUUGGCGUGGGCUCGAUAAGACACGCUACGGAGGUAAUUAAACGUCGGCGUGUUUUCAAGAAGCGAUGUCUGACGUUUCGACGCAUCGUUCCGUGUGGCCAAUGUUAAGUUAAAAUUGAGGAUGAGUUUAUUGGGCGGUAUAAUUUUCUGAUUAAAUUUGAUGAUCGAGGCAGAACGAUUUUAGCACUAGAGUUAUCAUGGUGAGAAUUGAAAGAUAGAUAGUAAAUAUUUAAAUUUGAUGAAAAUCGAAUAUAACACGAUAA
Bombus impatiens (common eastern bumble bee) is the source of this 1082-nucleotide long non-coding RNA. RefSeq lists it as uncharacterized. The record is from RefSeq and is a predicted model, not a curated record. Lineage: Eukaryota; Metazoa; Arthropoda; Insecta; Hymenoptera; Apidae. The transcript is spliced from 2 exons.